RNAcentral lists this ribosomal RNA (427 nucleotides) under uncultured bacterium. RNAcentral's name for it is "bacterial SSU rRNA". It matches the Rfam family "Bacterial small subunit ribosomal RNA", at positions 355 to 796 of the family's 1533-position model. The record is from RNAcentral.
CCGAGAAUAUUCGACAAUGGGCGAAAGCCUGAUCGAGCGAUACCGCGUGAUGGAUGAAGUGCUUCGGCACGUAAACAUCUUUUGUGGAGGAAGAAGUUAUUGACAUUACUCCAAGAAUAAGGGGCUCCUAACUCUGUGCCAGCAGGAGCGGUAAUACAGAGGCCCCAAGCGUUACCCGGAAUUACUGGGCGUAAAGAGUGCGUAGGUGGUCGUAUUAGUCGGGUGUUAAAACCCGGAGCUCAACUCCGGAAUCGCGCCCGAAACGGUACAACUAGAGGGAGUGAGAGGUGAAUGGAACUCAUGGUGUAGGGGUGAAAUCCGUUGAUAUCAUGGGGAACACCGAAAGCGAAGGCAAUUCACUGGCACUUUCCUGACACUCAAGCACGAAAGCGUGGGUAGCGAACGGGAUUAGAUACCCCCGUAGUCC